RNAcentral lists this ribosomal RNA (249 nucleotides) under Klebsiella pneumoniae. RNAcentral's name for it is "partial 23S ribosomal RNA". It matches the Rfam family "Bacterial large subunit ribosomal RNA", at positions 434 to 687 of the family's 2925-position model. Lineage: Bacteria; Pseudomonadati; Pseudomonadota; Gammaproteobacteria; Enterobacterales; Enterobacteriaceae. The record is from RNAcentral.
CUGUCUGAAUAUGGGGGGACCAUCCUCCAAGGCUAAAUACUCCUGACUGACCGAUAGUGAACCAGUACCGUGAGGGAAAGGCGAAAAGAACCCCGGCGAGGGGAGUGAAAAAGAACCUGAAACCGUGUACGUACAAGCAGUGGGAGCACCUUCGGGUGUGACUGCGUACCUUUUGUAUAAUGGGUCAGCGACUUAUAUUCUGUAGCAAGGUUAACCGUAUAGGGGAGCCGCAGGGAAACCGAGUCUUAA